RNAcentral lists this ribosomal RNA (433 nucleotides) under uncultured bacterium. RNAcentral's name for it is "partial 16S ribosomal RNA". It matches the Rfam family "Bacterial small subunit ribosomal RNA", at positions 29 to 507 of the family's 1533-position model. The record is from RNAcentral.
AACGAACGCUGGCGGCAUGCCUAACACAUGCAAGUCGAACGAGACCUUCGUGUCUAGUUGCGCACGGGUGCGUAACGCGUGGGAAGCUGCCCUUAGGUUCGGAAUACCUCCCCGAAAGGGGUGCUAAUGCCGGAUAAUGUCUUCGGACAAACGAUUUAUCGCCUUUGGGUGGGCCCGCGUUGGUUUAGCUAGUUGGUAGUGUAAAAGCCGACCAAGGCGACGAUCCAUAGCUGGUCUGAGAGGAUGAUCAGCCACACUGGGACUGGGACCCGGACUAGAAUACUACGGAAGAGAGGCGUGGGGCAUAUUGGGCCAUGGGGCAAGGGCUAAUAAAGCCAUGCGGCGUGAGUGCGCAAGGGCUUAGGAUUGUAAAGAUCUCUUACACGGGACGCUAAUGACAGUACCGGGAAAAUAAGCUCCGGCUAACUCCGUG